This 234-nucleotide long non-coding RNA is filed under the name Mytilus galloprovincialis (Mediterranean mussel). The record is from RNAcentral. Lineage: Eukaryota; Metazoa; Mollusca; Bivalvia; Mytilida; Mytilidae.
CUGGGGUCACACAUUCAUGAUUUUUACUGCCGUCUUUGACAGGACCUUUCCCGAUUAAAAUAUGUCAAAAGUCUGAUCAAGAUCCUGUGAAUCGUGGAUGGAAAUUCAAAUUUUUAAUUAAAAUUUGUAAAACAAAUAAUUUAAUCACGACAACAAUCAGAUAUUGUUCAGGAAGCGUCGAUAUUCAACCGUUUCCAAGCGAAUUUAUCCCGAGAAUCCCGUUAUCAAUCCGCU